Coregonus clupeaformis (lake whitefish) is the source of this 3616-nucleotide long non-coding RNA. RefSeq lists it as uncharacterized. The record is from RefSeq and is a predicted model, not a curated record. NCBI's taxonomy places the organism in Eukaryota, Metazoa, Chordata, Actinopteri, Salmoniformes, Salmonidae. The transcript is spliced from 4 exons.
AAUACAACACAGGUUAUAUACCCAGCCCUGUGGAGACCGUCCCUGAAACACUGCCUGGAUAAUACAACACAGGUUAUAUACCCAGCCCUGUGGAGACCGUCCCUGAAACACUGCCUGGAUAAUACAACACAGGUUAUAUACCCAGCCCUGUGGAGACCAUCCCUGAAACACUGAGACAACACAGGUUAUAUACCCAGCCCUGUGGAGACCGUCCCUGAAACACUGCCUGGAUAAUACAACACAGGUUAUAUACCCAGCCCUGUGGAGACCGUCCCUGAAACACUGAGACAACACAGGUUAUAUACCCAGCCCAGUGGAGACCGUCCCCGAAACACUGCCUGGAUAAUACAACACAGGUUAUAUACCCAGCCCUGUGGAGACCGUCCCUGAAACACUGCCUGGAUAAUACAACACAGGUUAUAUACCCAGCCCUGUGGAGACCGUCCCUGAAACACUGAGACAACACAGGUUAUAUACCCAGCCCUGUGGAGACCAUCCCUGAAACACUGAGACAACACAGGUUAUAUACCCAGCCCUGUGGAGACCAUCCCCGAAACACUGCCUGGAUAAUACAACACAGGUUAUAUACCCAGCCCUGUGGAGACCAUCCCUGAAACACUGCCUGGAUAAUACAACACAGGUUAUAUACCCAGCCCUGUGGAGACCAUCCCUGAAACACUGAGACAACACAGGUUAUAUACCCAGCCCUGUGGAGACCAUCCCUGAAACACUGAGACAACACAGGUUAUAUACCCAGCCCUGUGGAGACCAUCCCUGAAACACUGAGACAACACAGGUUAUAUACCCAGCCCUGUGGAGACCAUCCCUGAAACACUGAGACAACACAGGUUAUAUACUCAGCCCUGUGGAGACCGUCCCUGAAACACUGCCUGGAUAAUACAACACAGGUUAUAUACCCAGCCCUGUGGAGACCGUCCCUGAAACACUGAGACAACACAGGUUAUAUACCCAGCCCUGUGGAGACCAUCCCUGAAACACUGAGACAACACAGGUUAUAUACCCAGCCCUGUGGAGACCAUCCCCGAAACACUGCCUGGAUAAUACAACACAGGUUAUAUACCCAGCCCUGUGGAGACCAUCCCUGAAACACUGCCUGGAUAAUACAACACAGGUUAUAUACCCAGCCCUGUGGAGACCAUCCCUGAAACACUGCCUGGAUAAUACAACACAGGUUAUAUACCCAGCCCAGUGGAGACAGUCCCCGAAACACUGCCUGGAUAAUACAACACAGGUUAUAUACCCAGCCCUGUGGAGACCGUCCCUGAAACACUGCCUGGAUAAUACAACACAGGUUAUAUACCCAGCCCUGUAGAGACCGUCCCUGAAACACUGAGACAACACAGGUUAUAUACCCAGCCCUGUGGAGACCGUCCCCGAAACACUGCCUGGAUAAUACAACACAGGUUAUAUACCCAGCCCUGUAGAGACCGUCCCUGAAACACUGAGACAACACAGGUUAUAUACCCAGCCCAGUGGAGACCGUCCCCGAAACACUGCCUGGAUAAUACAACACAGGUUAUAUACCCAGCCCUGUAGAGACCGUCCCUGAAACACUGAGACAACACAGGUUAUAUACCCAGCCCUGUGGAGACCGUCCCCGAAACACUGCCUGGAUAAUACAACACAGGUUAUAUACCCAGCCCUGUGGAGACCAUCCCUGAAACACUGCCUGGAUAAUACAACACAGGUUAUAUACCCAGCCCUGUGGAGACCGUCCCCGAAACACUGCCUGGAUAAUACAACACAGGUUAUAUACCCAGCCCUGUGGAGACCGUCCCUGAAACACUGAGACAACACAGGUUAUAUACCCAGCCCUGUGGAGACCAUCCCUGAAACACUGCCUGGAUAAUACAACACAGGUUAUAUACCCAGCCCUGUGGAGACCAUCCCCGAAACACUGCCUGGAUAAUACAACACAGGUUAUAUACCCAGCCCUGUGGAGACCAUCCCUGAAACACUGCCUGGAUAAUACAACACAGGUUAUAUACCCAGCCCUGUGGAGACCGUCCCUGAAACACUGCCUGGAUAAUACAACACAGGUUAUAUACCCAGCCCUGUGGAGACCGUCCCUGAAACACUGAGACAACACAGGUUAUAUACCCAGCCCUGUGGAGACCAUCCCUGAAACACUGAGACAACACAGGUUAUAUACUCAGCCCUGUGGAGACCGUCCCCGAAACACUGCCUGGAUAAUACAACACAGGUUAUAUACCCAGCCCUGUGGAGACCGUCCCUGAAACAACACAGGUUAUAUACCCAGCCCUGUGGAGACCAUCCCUGAAACACUGAGACAACACAGGUUAUAUACCCAGCCCUGUGGAGACCAUCCCUGAAACACUGAGACAACACAGGUUAUAUACUCAGCCCUGUGGAGACCGUCCCCGAAACACUGCCUGGAUAAUACAACACAGGUUAUAUACCCAGCCCUGUGGAGACCGUCCCUGAAACACUGAGACAACACAGGUUAUAUACCCAGCCCUGUGGAGACCGUCCCCGAAACACUGCCUGGAUAAUACAACACAGGUUAUAUACCCAGCCCUGUGGAGACCAUCCCUGAAACACUGCCUGGAUAAUACAACACAGGUUAUAUACCCAGCCCUGUGGAGACCAUCCCUGAAACACUGAGACAACACAGGUUAUAUACUCAGCCCUGUGGAGACCGUCCCCGAAACACUGCCUGGAUAAUACAACACAGGUUAUAUACCCAGCCCUGUGGAGACCGUCCCUGAAACAACACAGGUUAUAUACCCAGCCCUGUGGAGACCAUCCCUGAAACACUGAGACAACACAGGUUAUAUACCCAGCCCUGUGGAGACCGUCCCUGAAACACUGCCUGGAUAAUACAACACAGGUUAUAUACCCAGCCCUGUGGAGACCGUCCCUGAAACACUGAGACAACACAGGUUAUAUACCCAGCCCUGUGGAGACCAUCCCUGAAACACUGAGACAACACAGGUUAUAUACUCAGCCCUGUGGAGACCGUCCCCGAAACACUGCCUGGAUAAUACAACACAGGUUAUAUACCCAGCCCUGUGGAGACCGUCCCUGAAACACUGAGACAACACAGGUUAUAUACCCAGCCCUGUGGAGACCAUCCCUGAAACACUGAGACAACACAGGUUAUAUACCCAGCCCUGUGGAGACCGUCCCUGAAACACUGAGACAACACAGGUUAUAUACCCAGCCCUGUGGAGACCGUCCCUGAAACACUGAGACAACACAGGUUAUAUACCAGCCCUGUGGAGACCGUCCCUGAAACACUGAGACAACACAGGUUAUAUACCCAGCCCUGUGGAGACCGUCCCUGAAACACUGCCUGGAUAAUACAACACAGGUUAUAUACCCAGCCCUGUGGAGACCGUCCCUGAAACACUGCCUGGAUAAUACAACACAGGUUAUAUACCCAGCCCUGUGGAGACCGUCCCUGAAACACUGCCUGGAUAAUACAACACAGGUUAUAUACCCAGCCCUGUGGAGACCGUCCCUGAAACACUGCCUGGAUAAUACAACACAGGUUAUAUACCCAGCCCUGUGGAGACCGUCCCUGAAACACUGAGACAACACAGGUUAUAUACCCAGCCCUGUGGAGACCGUC